This 253-nucleotide ribosomal RNA is filed under the name uncultured bacterium. RNAcentral's name for it is "partial 16S ribosomal RNA". It matches the Rfam family "Bacterial small subunit ribosomal RNA", at positions 524 to 776 of the family's 1533-position model. The record is from RNAcentral.
UACAGAGGUGGCAAGCGUUGUUCGGAAUUACUGGGCGUAAAGGGCGCGUAGGCGGCCAUCUAAGUCAGACGUGAAAUCCCCCGGCUUAACCUGGGAACUGCGUCUGAUACUGGAAGGCUCGAGUUUGGGAGAGGGAUGUAGAAUUCCAGGUGUAGCGGUGAAAUGCGUAGAUAUCUGGAGGAAUACCGGUGGCGAAGGCGGCAUCCUGGACCAACACUGACGCUGAGGCGCGAAAGCUAGGGGAGCAAACGGG